This is a non-coding RNA of Peromyscus maniculatus bairdii (prairie deer mouse), 1419 nucleotides long. Lineage: Eukaryota; Metazoa; Chordata; Mammalia; Rodentia; Cricetidae. The record is from RefSeq and is a predicted model, not a curated record.
GCCUUCUUCCGCGCGCCCCCGGGGCCGGCGGAGCCAGCCAGCCAGGCUGGUCGCCCCCUUCCCCGGCUGGUAAACCUCCCGAGCCUGGUCCGUAAUUACUGCUUGCUCGAGGCCACUGUGUUCCGAUGCUGUGCGCAUCCUCCAGACAAGGAAGGGUACUCCAGGGGGUUUCUUUACAAAUCGAAGAGUUUUUGAGUCAUCUCCUCACAUGGAUUCAGAGCACUCUAAAGGGGAAUUAAACAGAUCUAAGAAGAGUGGCUCAACCCCCCUUCACUCUUCCAGCCUGAGAGAUAAUGUUGAAGGACGUCCUUGGUAAGCCAAGGUUAAACAUUCUUGCUUUCUCCAUCAAAAACUCCACGUCUUAAUAUUUUUCCUGCCCAAGACAAGGUACGAUUCAGACCAGAAAAGAAAAAAAAAAUGUGGAGAGAAGUGACGCAAGGGUCUAUAUAAUCCAUUGGAUACUCUUCUGGACGUUAAGGGGGACUUCCUCCACUGCCUGUGUCUUUUUCAUUUGGCUUCCCAUAGAAGGCUUCUGGUCAGGAAGCAGGGAGUUCAACUUCAAGGCCUCCACAUCCGUUCAUCGGGUUAGAAGAUUGAAGCGGGAUGGUGCUGGGCUGAAAUCCAGGUGCUGGCAGAAGCAUCCUCCGUCUCCAAGCGCCGCAGCAGAACCUACUUCCUCCUUGCUUGAUCAGUUUCCAGGUGCCGUCUGAAUUCUUGGCUCCGGCUCCUCCACUGUCUUUAAAGUGCAUCACUGGCCCUCCGCUUCUGCGGGCCUCUCUCCUCCUGUCUGAGCUUGAUUUUCCCGACCCCCCUGCUCCAGGGUGUCUUACGAUUGCACAAGGCUCACACGGAUAAUCUAGGAUAAUGUCCUCAUUUCAGAAUUCUUAAUUGCAUUUGCUGAAUCCCUUUACCAGGUAAAGCAACGUAGUCACGGGUUCUAGAAAUGAGAAUGUGGGCACGUUUGGGGGCCUUGUUUUUCGGUCUACUAUAAUCUGCACGUCUAAUCGGACAGCCGCACAGGGCAGCGAUCUUUCCCCCAGCAGAUGGGAGUCUUUCUCGCUGCUUUUCAAUGCGCUCACCUGGGUCCUCAUAAAGCCCACGAUCCUCUCCUCUCAGGCAUGAGCUCUGUUCGUACCUGACGGAUUCUGUGACUUAUCAGGUGUCUCUGGCCUUUCUUUUCUCUCUCAGGCUCUUCUGUUGCUGCUGCUCGGUCUCAUCUACCUCCAUUCUGAGGGUCUGGAAAAUCCUUCUGACAUAGUUUAGUCGAAGGCCUUCUUUCUUCCUUCAUGACCCUGCUUGUUAAACUCACUCUCUUUUUUGAUGGCUUGGGAAGAUGAAGCGAAACUAUACUACACAUGUAUGUCAUUGCCAAAGAAUAAAGGACAAAAAAAUAAAACUGUUAGCUCCAUAUACUUGAAA